Long non-coding RNA from Eriocheir sinensis (Chinese mitten crab), 2142 nucleotides. RefSeq lists it as uncharacterized. The transcript is spliced from 3 exons. The record is from RefSeq and is a predicted model, not a curated record. NCBI's taxonomy places the organism in Eukaryota, Metazoa, Arthropoda, Malacostraca, Decapoda, Varunidae.
GAGAGACUCAGUGAGGCUUGAGGAGCAAAGAUCUUUAUCAAAGAAUCUUUUAACAUUACUCUCUUUUUCAGUCCUUCUACGACUCCGCAGUAUUGUUCAUUCCCUGGCUGGGUUUAGGUUAGGUUCGUUAAGCUUAGAUUGGAUUGGGCUAGGUUAGAUUAGGUUAACUCUACAAUGAUGCUUCAGGGAAUAUGGAGCUGAGUGUAGCAACCUCCUCCAUCACUACUGACAACAAUGGCGCAGUGCAAAGUGCAUCUCAUAUUUGCUGUAAACAAACGUAACAAACCUAACAAAACAAAAUCUAACCCGAAAAUCUGUCCCGAAAAUCCCUCUAAUCACAUUCAAUCCCUUGCCUUUCAACUCUCUCUCUUCAUUGCUCAUCCACUCUACUGGUCCAUUUUAGUUAGCAUAGUCACAGCAACUGAGUCUUACGUGUGGCACAACGAACCACCACUAUAAACACUUGCCUGCGCCAUGACGGGCUGGGGCCGAACACCAUCCAGGCCCCUCAAGCAAACCUACCAGCGCUAUAGGCGUAGACGUAAAAUAAAUAAAAAAUAAUAAAAAAGAAAAUAAAUAAAUAAAUAAACAAAAAAUAAAUAAAUAAAUAAAUAAAUAAAUAAAUAAAUAAAUAAAUAAUGUGCUCUGGCAGCCUGCAGUCAUACGAUGUGUCCGAUUUCAUGUAUAAUACAGUAAUGCCUCGGUUUACGAGUGUCUUGAUUUACGAGUGACAAAUGAUCACUAAAAUUGCCUUGGUUUACGAGCAGUGACUUGGUGGAUGAGCAUCCUGUUUGUACAUGUGGAAGACGUAAGCGUGGGUUCCCUUUGUUCACCGCAAGACAAGAACGCUCAAAGUGGAAAACAAUGGGAAUGGGUCCUCAGUCCACGUUGUACACUCACAGAGGUAGCACACGCGCACUCAUGUCCUCUUAAAUUUGUGCUCUAGUGUGCUAUCUUUGUCAAAUAUGUGAGCUUGGGCACCAAAAGGAUUAAGAAAAUGACCCUAUGCCUCACCCACCCAACUACUUCUUCAUCCCCUUCUUAUGGCAUUACACCCACACCAAACAAACUAUGAUUAUGCAGUCUGUCUGUGGCUGUCUGUGUGACUGCAGAGGUGUAUAAAUGGCAGAAGGGCUUUAAUAAGGGAGAUAUCAAUAAGGCUCUAAUGGUAAGAGAGCCAGGUAGGACAUGUAGUUAUGGGUUAAAGUUGGAGAAAUUCAGAUUUAACAAGAUCAUAGGCAAGGAUUGGUUCACCAACAGAGUAGUGGAUGAGUGGAACAGGCUUGGCAGUCAUGUUGUGAGUGCCAAUACAAUAGACACAUUCAAGAUUAGAUAAAUUCAUGGAUAGUGAUGUUAGGUGGGGUUAGGUUCACUGGAGCUGCCUUGCAUAGACCUACUGGCCUCUUGCAGACUCCAUAUGUUCUUAUGUUCCUCGUAUAAACAGAAUGCAAAAAUAGUUUUCUUUUUGCCUUUGCUUUUUUUUGUCAUAAACCAAGACGUUUUUGUGAUUUUUUUUGCUCGUAAAUCAAAACACUCAUAAAGGCAUUCAUAAACCAAGGUAUUUUUAGUGAUUUUUUUUGCUCGUAAAUAAAAACACUCAAAAAGGCAUUCAUAAACCAAGGUAUUUUUAGUGAUUUUUUUUGCUCGUAAAUAAAAACACUCAAAAAGGCAUUCAUAAACCAAGGUAUUUUUAGUGAUUUUUUUUGCUCGUAAAUAAAAACACUCAUAAAGGCAUUCAUAAACCAAGGUAUUUUUAGUGAUUUUUUUUGCUCGUAAAUAAAAACACUCAUAAAGGCAUUCAUAAACCAAGGUAUUUUUAGUGAUUUUUUUUGCUCGUAAAUAAAAACACUCAUAAAGGCAUUCAUAAACCAAGGUAUUUUUAGUGAUUUUUUUUGCUCGUAAAUAAAAACACUCAUAAAGGCAUUCAUAAACCAAGGUAUUUUUAGUGAUUUUUUUUGCUCGUAAAUAAAAACACUCAUAAAGGCAUUCAUAAACCAAGGUAUUUUUAGUGAUUUUUUUUGCUCAUAAAUAAAAACACUCGUAAAGGCAUUCAUAAACCAAGGUAUUACUAUACUUCACCUCUUCAACCUCAACCAAAACGUCAUCUACGAGGCACCUUGAAUAACCACACACCAAUCCAGC